GACGCAAAUGGCGCCGUCGUAUCCCGACGGCAUGCCUGUCUGAGUGUCAUUUUUCACCCAUCUUGCCGUUUGGCGCCCCAGCUGCAAAGCCGGGGUUUGCUGAUACAGCAGCUCUGAGGGCACUCCGCGCUUUCCAGUGCGCGGCGGCCCUUGAAACAUUGCGACAGCGUUGUCUUGGGUGUUACACUAUCCCAAACCGAGCAACCAAGAAAAAGGCCAACAAUGGCCUUUUUUUUCAGUUGGUCACCAAAAUACUUGCCAACGCGUGAGUCACUAAAAUACUCGCUAUUUCUUGCACACACGUUUGCUACUUUUUGGUUUGAUUUAACGAUGGAGGCUUCGGGGUGUAACCGGCAGCGGUCUGCUUGAAAAAAACCAACUUUAAAACCAUGACCUCAGAUCAGACAAGACUACCCGCUGAACUUAA
Molecule: unclassified non-coding RNA, 427 nt
Filed under: uncultured fungus
Lineage: Eukaryota; Fungi
Description: partial contains ITS1, 5.8S rRNA and ITS2
Source: RNAcentral